UUAGGGUUUCGUUAAACGGUCGCCGCAUCGUAUUCUUGCCGCGAAGAUCUCCCGCGGGAGCAACUCUUUUGGGCCCUACGAGGUGGCGGUGGCGGUGGUCUAACCAUCCUUCUUCUUCCUUCCAGUUUAUUCUGUUUGUUCUUCUUCGAGGUCUUUGUUCCAAGGUUAAGGAUGAAGGCUGUCUGGCGGCGUCUGCAUAAACAUGACUAUCUCACCAAAUAUUUUGUCUGUUGAGCUCUUUUGUCUUCUACACCCAAGGGCUAUUGAUAGAUGUUCGUCUCAAAUUGUUGCAUCUAUAAAACAUUGUGGCUGUAAUGUUGAUCAAGCAACUUCCUUCUUUGCCUUUAGUUGAUUACUUGUUUUGGCAUGUCUGCUACAAGGUUAGCUGACCCUAACCUAUAACAACAAGAGGCAGCCUGUAUUAAGUGUGCAGUUGAACUGCUAUUUCCUUCUAGGUCUGUGUCCGUAUGUGUGUGGCAAUACACAUCUGCUUGUGUGAUUGUUGGAGGACAAGGGAGGGUUGGUGUUUUAUCUAACUCUAAAGAAGUUAAAAGCCAGUUAACAUGAAAGGCCAGAACAUUCUUAAAAGAAAGUGAACUCUUUUAGUUGUUUUUUGAAGUGAAAAAGUUCUUUUCUUUGCUUUGAUCUCAACUGGCAAUGAGGACACAAAGGCCGGACUUACAGCUGCUCUGGUUACAAACCUGUUGGUAGUAGAAUGAUGUGGCACUUUGUGAGGUGUAACUGAGUCAGUGGAGACAAAAUUGAGCUAUCAAUGUAAGCUCACCUUUUAAAUUGUUUGUGAGCACUUUACCUGAUUGCCUUUAAGAAAAGAUUCACUUAAUUAAUCUCCAAAUAUUUUAGAACUUAUGUUGCUGAGAAAUCAUCUAUUUAGCAAGUUUCAUUGAAGAUUUGAAGGCUUCUUCUUCUUUUUCUUCUUCCAAGACCUCAUUUAAUUGCAGGGGAAAAAGUCAGCAAAAACUAUUUUCUCCUUUUUUUGAUGUCCUGCAUGUUGAAUCAAAACAAGGAAGAAUUUUGUGAUGAAGAUUUCAAUUCCCUGAAAUCUGGUGAUUCUCGUCUCCACACAUGCACAUGUCAUGUUUGUCUGUGUGUGUAAUUGAUCAACCAAUGCCUUUGCGGUUGUCUCCCUUGUGCAGAUCACUGUAUAGGUUCCUGCCCUCUGAGUUCACACCUUCCUGCUUCACUAAUUAGCCACUUAGCUGCUGCUGCGGAACUCCUCCUCUGAUCGUAGUUAUGUCAAGGUCUCUCUCUCUCUCUCUCUCUCUUCCCCUGUUUGUGUCUGUUCUCCAGUUCCAUGGAAUUAGUCAUGACGCUGGGCCGUCCAAUGCCAAGGACAUAUCUAAACCUUAAGGAAUGUCAUCUCAUGAAGAGUUCAGGUCUGAAAGUACGUUUCAAGGUUGCGGAGGAGUGGGUGUGUGGAGUUAUGGAAGGCCAUGAUUGAGGUCAAUGAAGACAGUGUCUUUGCUGGGAUCCAGAUAGCAGAACCGAUAAAGGCAUCCCCAAUACUAGAUCCUCGAAAUAAGAGGGUUCAGGAUUUGAUCAACAUGUUAAGGGAAGAUCAAGGCUUUCUUGGCGAUGCACUCAGUUCACUGGAAUACGAGGGGUAUCCUAGAUUGAUGGCUGAUGAUAAGGCUGGGAAUUGAGAUUUAUUAAGGAGAAUGGACUCAGAAAAUAUUGAAAUUAACUGAUCAGUUGUACCUAUCCUUUGUUUUCCUGCAAAUAUAGUGAAGUAUCUUUGUUGGUUUUUGAGAUAGCCAAAUUUGGGGUAUUUGUUCUUUCUUUAUUCUUUUCCUGUAGAGUUUGAUAGAUGAUUGGCUAUCUUUGCCUAUUUCUCUACUCCAACCAUGAAGUACUAUUGUAAUGAGUCUUUUGGUUGAAUUUUAGGGAUACUCAAGACUAGACCUUGAGACGUUGCAUUGUACAGCUAAUUGAAUGUAAUUUUAGGUGUGUCUA
Molecule: long non-coding RNA, 1971 nt
Organism: Nymphaea colorata (pocket water lily)
Lineage: Eukaryota; Viridiplantae; Streptophyta; Magnoliopsida; Nymphaeales; Nymphaeaceae
Exons: 2
Source: RefSeq, a predicted model, not a curated record